UACAGAGGUCUCAAGCGUUGUUCGGAUUCAUUGGGCGUAAAGGGUGCGCAGGCGGCGAGGCAAGUCGGACGUGAAAUCCCGGGGCUUAACCCCGGAACUGCGAUCGAUACUGCUUUGCUUGAGGACUGGAGAGGAGACUGGAAUUCCUGGUGUAGCAGUGAAAUGCGUAGAUAUCAGGAGGAACGCCAAUGGCGAAGGCAAGUCUCUGGACAGUUCCUGACGCUCAUGCACGAAGGCCAGGGGAGCAAACGGG
This 253-nucleotide ribosomal RNA is filed under the name uncultured bacterium. Its description in RNAcentral is "partial 16S ribosomal RNA". It matches the Rfam family "Bacterial small subunit ribosomal RNA", at positions 524 to 776 of the family's 1533-position model. The record is from RNAcentral.